AAAAUAUUAUGAGGAAAUACAAAGGUAGAAGUAAGAAGGGCCUCACCUGAAGAUAAGGGUGAGGGAAAAGAUGAGAAUCACAGCCACAGUCACAGUAUGGGGUCAGAAGGGACCCAUGCUGAUGGCAAUGAAUUCGAGUCUAUUACAAACUGGUAUAUCUUUUUAAGUAAAAACCACAGGAAUUACAAUUGCCUGUGAGAAAGGUCCAUGGGAAAGUGUACAAGAAUGUAGAUAGUGCAGCUGGUAGGAUAAUGGUUAGGGCAAGAUAAUGAUUUCAGGAAUCAUCCAGAGUUCAUGGAAAAGUCAGCAAAAACUAAAAGAAGACAGAGUCAAGGGAACUCCAACCCCUUCUCAGACAGACCAUGAGAAUUCAAACUCUGAUACCAUUUAAUUUAUUAUGCUGACUUGAGAUAUAUUGAAAUUGCAAUGGAGAAAAGUUGGGAUGUGAAAGGAUAAUUCUAAGUGGGAAAUCUUUACCAAAAAAAAUCUAUUAGCAUAUAAUGUUUCUAUGUGGUUUUCUAAAUCAAUAUAACUUCAUCAAGUCUAAGAAUUUUUUUUUAGUCUGCAGAAUUUCUGUUUGAGACCACUCAUAAAAAGAAAAAAAGAGCCCAGGAUAGCAUAUUAGGGGACAUGCACAAUUAUUAUUAAGAUCUUUCUGCGUGAGAAAAAUUACCUCCACCCCUUUUAAUGUUGCAGAUGUGAUGACAUACCUGGUGUCAUCCUGGUGAUGGGGCUUGAACUCGAACAUCUGGCAUCAGCCUGACAGUUCCCUGUAUGUCCAGCUGGAGGAUCGGUAUAUUAAUCCUAAGCCAGGAAAAAUGAGGGUCCUCAGCUUCUGUGUUGGGACCAACUAAGGACUGCUGGUACUAAUGUGGUAGAGUAUAGGCUGAAAGUCUGCUAAAUGGAGACUAUAUAGUAAUCCUUUCUUUAGGAAUCAUCUAUGUCCUCACUCUUUUUUCAUCCUCUCCUUUCUAUUAAUAAAAUUAUUAAAAUCUAACACCAGUUUCCUCAUUUUUAAUCUUAACAUUUCCAAGUUGACACUGAAUUUUUGAUAAUUGCUCUUUGGAAGUGACUAUUCAACAAAUUCAGAAAAUAUAAAAUUUUAUUAUCUAUCAGUAUUUUACCAUUUAGUAUGAGAAUAUUUGUCAAAUACAUUUUAAAAAUCAAGGCAAAUUGCAUGUACAAUAGUCUGUAGAUUCCCUAGAUUUUACUCUCUGGUAUGCAGUGAAUAGAGCACUAAGCUUAGAAUUAGGAAGACAUGUUUAUUUUUUCCUACUUUCUUAUUUAGAAAAUUUUUCCAUGGUUACAUGAUUAAUGACUCCUCCCUCAUUUUCUCCCUAUUUCCUGAAACUGAUAAGCAGUUCCACUGAGUUAUAUAUGUAUCAUUGUUCAAAACCCAUUUCCAUGUUAUUGUUUUUUGCAGUAGAAUGAUCUUUUAACAUCCAAACCCUAAUAUCCAUAUUGAACUAUGCGAUCGAUCAUAUAUUUUUCUUCUGCGUUUCUGUCCACACAAAUCUUUCUCUGGAUGUGGAUAGCAUUCUUUCUCAUAAGUUCCUCUGGAUGCUCCUAUGUCAUUGCAUUACUGCUAGUAUAGAAGUCCAUUACAUUUGAUUAUUCCACAGUGUAUCAGUCCCUGUGUACAACAUUCUCCUGGAUCUGCUCCUUAUGCUCUGCAUCAAUUCCUAGAGCUUGUUCCAGUUCACAUCAAAUUCCUCUAUUUCUUUAUUCCUUUCAGCACAAUAAUAUUCCAUCACCACCAGAUAUCAUAAUUUGUUCAGCCAUUCUCCAAUUGAUGGACACCCCCUCAUUUUCCAAUGUUUUGCCACCACAAAUAGCAAGGCUAUAAAUAUUCUUCUACCUGUCUUUUUCCUUAUUAUCUCUUUGGGGUACAAACCCAACAGUGGUAUGGCUGUGACACAGGGUAGGCAUUCAUUUAAAGUCCUUUGGGCAUAAUUCCAAAUUGCCAUCCAGAAUGGUUGGACCAAUUCAUGACUCCACAAGCAGUGUAUGAGUGUCCCAAUUUUGCCACAUCACCGCCAACAUUUAUCACUAGAAAGACAUCUUUAUUAGUUCAAAUCCAAACUUAGAAUUACAAGCUACAUGACCUGGACAAGUGACAACUCUGGUUGCCUCAGUUCCUCAUCUAUAAAAAUGAACUGGAGGAAGAAAUAAUAAACUCUUCUCUCUUUGCUAGGAAAAUCUCUAAUGAGGUCAGAAAGAGUCAGAUAUAACUUAAACAAAGGAACAAGUCCUGUAAUUAUAAUGUGCAUUUGAACUACUUCUCUUCUGCCCUGGAAGUCAAAAAUGGUCCAGAAGCAAGACUACAACCAGAUUCAUCCAUAACUUCUGAAAGAGGUCAUUAAAAGGAUUGAAUGAAUGGUACUAAAUAGCUCCUUGGAUUGAUAGCCAGGCCUAGAGAUUGGAGGUCCUGGAUUCAAAUAUGGCUGCAUGACCUAGCUGUGUGACCCUGGACUUAACUACAAUUUCCUUCCCCUUACCACUCUUCUGCCUUGGAAUAAAUACUUUGUAUUGAUUCUCAGAUAAAAGAUUGACACUAGGAAGAACUAUAAGGCUUCCAUAAUAAUCUAAAAAAGUGGUAUCAAGAGUUGUUAUCAUAUGACUUCAAAGAGGAGGAAAAACAGAAGACUUUUUUUGCAGGAGAAAUUGAAAGAAGCUGGUAACUGAUUAUAUAUAAUGUUAGAAUUAUGGAUCAAUGAAAAAAUGUAGAAGAAUUAUCUAAAAUAUGUUAUGAUUAAAAUUAUCUAGAAACUAUAUAUUAAUUAAUAAUUAUCUAUUAGUAAAAGUUGGAAAGAAUUAUAAACCUACCUGAUGGUGGCUCACUAAUCUGCAUCUGUUCUGCUCAUCUCUCUUUGUUAGCUAUAAGUGGCCAUGCCAUGAAGUCUCCAGAUCAAGGGAGAACUGCUUCCUCCAAACCCCUCUCUUAAAACCCCUGAUGGUGUCAGUCCUUCUAAAUCUCCCUGAUUAGAAAGACUUGACCUUUAGUUCCAGUCAGAGCUCAGUCUUCCUGACACCAGGAAUCAAACACGAGGGAUGCCAGUGAGCCAUGAGCUUUUGUUGUCCUUCCAUAGUAUACAUGUGUACCCAGUCAAAAGGAGGGGUUGAUACAGAACAAAAUGGAUUUUCAAAUGAAAUAUAGGGUACAAUUUAUAUUAAAUUCACAAAAGAUGACAAAUCUGGCAGAUAUUGAAUGAUGGUGGUAUAUAUAGAAAUAAAAAUCAGAAGGGUAAAUAGCUGAGAAAAGAUAAUUUAUUGUUUAAGACAUCAUGAAUUUUAAAUACCAUUAUGAAAUUCUGAUGGAGAGGUCCUCUAAGCAUUUGGAAAUGUGAGUCUAAUCAUCAGAAGAGAGCUAGGCUCAGAAAUCAUUGACACUUCAGAUGGUAGUUGGAUGUUGUAAGAAUAAAGGAACUUGUCAAGAUAGUAUGGAGCUACUGUUACCGUGAUCCAAAAGUAGAUCUUUUAGUAAAACUAAUGUUGAGGGCUAAGAAAGUAAAGUGGAACCAGUGAGAAAAAUACAGAAAUAAUUUAAGAAGUCAGAAGAGUUUCUAGGGAAUAUAAUAUUUCUGAAGUACAGGUAAAGGAUGAUUAUUCAAUAAGAAGAAAUGAGUCAGCUGAAAUCUGUGUUGUUUUUAUUCAAACCGAUUUUUGUGGCAAAAAAAUAGAUAAUUAACAGUGUUGAUAUUUGAUCAUUCUAAUCCUAACUCUAUGAUCUCUGAAUAAAAUAAUAUAAGUUUCUUAAAGAUGAGAAUGGCUCUAUUUUGUCUUUCUAAUAUCCUAGCACUUGUUGCUAUGCCAGGAACAUAGUAUGGAUAUAAUGAAUGAUCUGUCAGUAAUAUUUCUUAAUAUAUAGUGUAAAUAUGAAAAAAAACACAGAACUACAAAAGUAGUUAUAAUAAUGG
Long non-coding RNA from Monodelphis domestica (gray short-tailed opossum), 3917 nucleotides. RefSeq lists it as uncharacterized. The record is from RefSeq and is a predicted model, not a curated record. Lineage: Eukaryota; Metazoa; Chordata; Mammalia; Didelphimorphia; Didelphidae.